RNAcentral lists this long non-coding RNA (259 nucleotides) under Carica papaya (papaya). RNAcentral's name for it is "long non-coding RNA (CPAP_LNC006026)". Lineage: Eukaryota; Viridiplantae; Streptophyta; Magnoliopsida; Brassicales; Caricaceae. The record is from RNAcentral.
UUGAGGUGGCGUUAGAUCUUCUCGUUAUAGGGAUGACUCAUAUUAUGGAAGUGGUGGAGGGUCAGAUAGUUCCCUCCUGUCUUCUCUGGCUUACUGGGAGAUGAGUCUCUCUAAAAUCUCGAUGAUCCGAUCGACAUCCUCUCAAAGCGACCCGACUCGAGUGAUGCCAUUCAGUAAAGGACCUCAUCUCCUCGUGUCUUUAUACUCAUUUUUCACAAGAAAAGGUUGAAAAAUAGUUCGUAUUUGGUGUUUUUAUCUU